Molecule: ribosomal RNA, 784 nt
Filed under: Clostridioides difficile
Lineage: Bacteria; Bacillati; Bacillota; Clostridia; Peptostreptococcales; Peptostreptococcaceae
Description: bacterial LSU rRNA
Rfam family: Bacterial large subunit ribosomal RNA
Source: RNAcentral
UGGUCAAGUUAUUAAGGGUGCAGGGCGGAUGCCUUGGCACUAGGAGCCGAUGAAGGACGUGAUAAGCUGCGAUAAGCUUCGGGGAGUUGCACGUAAACUUUGAUCCGAAGAUUUCCGAAUGAGGAAACUCACUUAGAGUAAUGUCUAAGUAUCAUUAAGUGAAUACAUAGCUUAAUGAGGGGAACUCAGGGAACUGAAACAUCUAAGUACCUGAAGGAAGAGAAAGAAAUUCGAUUCCGUAAGUAGCGGCGAGCGAACGCGGAUUAGCCCAAACCAAUAAAGUUUUCUUUAUUGGGGUUGCGGACAUAUCAUAACGAAGAGGUAUCGUAAUUGAAGAGGUUUGGAAAGACCCACCACAGAAGGUAAUAGUCCUGUAUGUUAAACGAGAAGACUUUAGAUAUGAUCCAGAGUACCACGGGACACGUGAAACCCUGUGGGAAGCAGGAGGGACCACCCUCCAAGGCUAAAUACUACCUAGUGACCGAUAGCGUAUAGUACCGUGAGGGAAAGGUGAAAAGAACCCCGGGGGGGGAGUGAAAUAGAACCUUAAUCCCUGAACUGCCAAGCUGUGGAAGGACAUUUCUUGUGUGACCGCGUACUUGUUGUAGAGCGGGCUAACGAGGUACGUUAAGUAGCAAGGUUAAGCACUUAUGGUGCGGAGCCGUAGCGAAAGCGAGUUUUAACUGAGCGUUCAGUUACUUGACGUAGACCCGAAACCGGGCGACCUACCCAUGAGCAGGAUGAAGCGAAAGUAAAAUUUCGUGGAGGUCCGAACCCACGAGCG